GAUGAACGCUGGCGGCGUGCCUAACACAUGCAAGUCGAGCGAACGGACGAGAAGCUUGCUUCUCUGAUGUUAGCGGCGGACGGGUGAGUAACACGUGGAUAACCUACCUAUAAGACUGGGAUAACUUCGGGAAACCGUAGCUAAUACCGGAUAAUAUUUUGAACCGCAUGGUUCAAAAGUGAAAGACGGUCUUGCUGUCACUUAUAGAUGGAUCCGCGCUGCAUUAGCUAGUUGGUAAGGUAACGGCUUACCAAGGCAACGAUGCAUAGCCGACCUGAGAGGGUGAUCGGCGACACUGGAACUGAGACACGGUCCAGACUCCUACGGGAGGCAGCAGUAGGGAAUCUUCCGCAAUGGGCGAAAGCCUGACGGAGCAACGCCGCGUGAGUGAUGAAGGUCUUCGGAUCGUAAAACUCUGUUAUUAGGGAAGAACAUAUGUGUAAGUAACUGUGCACAUCUUGACGGUACCUAAUCAGAAAGCCACGGCUAACUACGUG
Molecule: ribosomal RNA, 497 nt
Filed under: uncultured bacterium
Lineage: Bacteria
Description: partial 16S ribosomal RNA
Rfam family: Bacterial small subunit ribosomal RNA
Source: RNAcentral